UGUUUUGCCAGCUUCACGCCACCCGGGAUGGGAGAAAGCAGGUGUCGCGAGAGUUGGGCGCAAGACGCCUUGUAGGGAGUGUAGCUAUGGCCGGCCUGCGGAACGAAAGUGAACAGGAGCCGCUCUUAGGCGACACACCUGGAAGCAGAGAAUGGGACAUUUUAGAGACUGAAGAGCAUUAUAAGAGCCGAUGGAGAUCUAUUAGGAUUUUAUAUCUUACUAUGUUUCUCAGCAGUGUAGGGUUUUCUAUAGUGAUGAUGUCCAUAUGGCCAUAUCUCCAAAAGAUUGAUCCGACAGCUGAUACAAGUUUUUUGGGCUGGGUUAUUGCUUCAUAUAGUCUUGGCCAAAUGGUAGCUUCACCUAUAUUUGGUUUAUGGUCUAAUUAUAGACCAAGAAAAGAGGCUCUUAUUGUCUCCAUCUUGAUUUCCGUGGCAGCCAACUGCCUCUAUGCAUAUCUCCACAUCCCAGCUUCCCAUAAUAAAUACUACAUGCUGGUUGCUCGUGGAUUGUUGGGAAUUGGAGCAGGUAAGGUUGUAUGUAUAUGUUUGGUUGUGUCAUAUUCACAUUCAUUCUGACAUUUAUGGCUCACUUUCACCUGGUCUCAUCCCCUUUUAAACUCAUAUUUCACAGUUCAACAUACAUGUUUCUCAUUGUAAACAAAUAUUUUUCCUAUCAUUUUACCUUUGCUCAUGAUGUUCUCAUUACCUAUAGUUUCUCUUCUGUUCCCAUCAUUCUUCAUCCUUCAACAUUCAGUUUAAACCAGGUGUGGUGGCACGUGCCUAUAAUACCAGCUACUCAGGAGACUGAGUUAGCAGAAUCUCUUGAGCCCAGGAGUUCGAGGCCAGCCUGGGUAACAUAGGGAGACCUCCAUCUAAAAAAAAAAAAA
Molecule: small RNA, 886 nt
Filed under: Pan troglodytes (chimpanzee)
Lineage: Eukaryota; Metazoa; Chordata; Mammalia; Primates; Hominidae
Description: retained intron
Source: RNAcentral